GACGAACGCUGGCGGCGUGCUUAACACAUGCAAGUCGAACGGAAAGGCCCUGCUUUUGUGGGGUGCUCGAGUGGCGAACGGGUGAGUAACACGUGAGUAACCUGCCCUUGACUUUGGGAUAACUUCAGGAAACUGGGGCUAAUACCGGAUAUGAGCUCCUGCUGCAUGGUGGGGGUUGGAAAGUUUCGGCGGUUGGGGAUGGACUCGCGGCUUAUCAGCUUGUUGGUGGGGUAGUGGCUUACCAAGGCUUUGACGGGUAGCCGGCCUGAGAGGGUGACCGGCCACAUUGGGACUGAGAUACGGCCCAGACGCCUACGGGAGGCAGCAGGGGGGAAUAUUGCACAAUGGGCGGAAGCCUGAUGCAGCAACGCCGCGUGCGGGAUGACGGCCUUCGGGUUGUAAACCGCUUUCGCCUGUGACGAAGCGUGAGUGACGGUAAUGGGUAAAGAAGCACCGGCUAACUACGUG
This 468-nucleotide ribosomal RNA is filed under the name uncultured bacterium. Its description in RNAcentral is "partial 16S ribosomal RNA". It matches the Rfam family "Bacterial small subunit ribosomal RNA", at positions 28 to 507 of the family's 1533-position model. The record is from RNAcentral.